RNAcentral lists this long non-coding RNA (1245 nucleotides) under Betta splendens (Siamese fighting fish). RNAcentral describes it as "lncRNA (ENSBSLG00000007130.1)". The record is from RNAcentral. Lineage: Eukaryota; Metazoa; Chordata; Actinopteri; Anabantiformes; Osphronemidae.
AUGCUCUCUUAUUCGUACCAACCUCGCACAACACCGCUCCCUUAUUCUCGUCCCGCGGUUUUGGAAACUAUACCGGAAGACUUGGUGACGCUCGACUACCUGGUCGGCAUUGCAUCGCUAGGCAACGAGUACUCUUUUGUGCAAUACAAGCCCACCGAGGAACACAAAAGAUGCGCCGGACUAAAACUUGACCACGUUCAGCGGAUCAACGCCUUUGUCCAGACACUGCGAGACAGGUCUGUGCCGAUAGAGACGUGCCUACACACAACGCUUGUACCGUCGGCCAAAAAGACUUUUUGGAUAAGGGUGUCCCUGGCAGACCUAACAGAACUCAGCUUGGAAAAUCUCUGGAUGAUAAGGGGUAGAGUCCAGCUGCACUCAAAACAGCAGUAUGUCACACUCGCGAUAGAAGACCGUUGCCUGCAACCCUGCUUCCUGGACCCUGAGUCUCAGCUGCUCUUCUCUCAACCUGACACGAGCUGCAAGGACAAAUUCUUAAGUCUAGCCAAGGAAGGUCUAAUUGGUUCCACUCGGGAGGACAAAGACAGCCAUGUGGGUGAAGGUGACAAAACUGAUGAUGAUGAUGAUGUUGGUUGUGGUGGUGGUGGUGGUAACUGUCAUCACGAUAACAACUCAAAUAGGAGCAAGAGGGAGGACCCUUGCAAAGAGAGACAAAAGCGUGAAAUGUGUAGACACCAGGAUGAGGUGUCUUACGCCUUGUCGCAUAAUAAGAGACACAAACCCUCUUUCAGUAGCCACGGCUCUGAGCUCAAGUUGCCAACGGAAGAAGUAGAGCAAACAACAAAGUCAAACUUUAAACAUGCAAUGUUUAAUCACACAAUGCAAACCGAAAUGAAAACAAGACAACACAACAAAACAGUAGCAAAUGCUGUGUUCGCUAGAGCUAUGAGAUGUCGUCAGCGUGGUCGCCGCAAGAAUCCAAACUCCCCUAAGUGCAAGGAUCUGUUAGCUCCCUCACCCGCAGCAUUUUGCCUCAGACCUUCUUCUGCUUCUGUCACCGCGGUUGCAGACGUUUCUCCCAGUUGGCCGGGGAACCUUAAAGAGAACCCAGAAAGGUGGGUUGAAGUACAGUCCCCUCUCAAGGACCCUGAGAGGCCUUCUUCCGCCGCUAUCCCGUCCUCUGACAUCACACCGACUGAAUCUCCCCUGUGCCGGCAACACCUCGAGCUCCAACAAGAGACCCCUCAGCGACAAACGGCCGGUUGGGGUUGCUCCUUGAUGUAG